Molecule: long non-coding RNA, 146 nt
Filed under: Mustela putorius furo (domestic ferret)
Lineage: Eukaryota; Metazoa; Chordata; Mammalia; Carnivora; Mustelidae
Description: lncRNA (ENSMPUG00000027643.1)
Source: RNAcentral
UGCCAACAGACAACAUGGAGUCGCAUGAAUGACUUGCCAAUAAUGUGAAGAUACUGAGUCCUGUCAGGUUCAGGGAAGUCGCAUAAAAUUGAUCAUCCUUCAAAGGUAUCUACCUGUGGAUGUUGAGUCCUUACAGCAGGGAGGAG